RNAcentral lists this ribosomal RNA (422 nucleotides) under uncultured bacterium. Its description in RNAcentral is "bacterial SSU rRNA". It matches the Rfam family "Bacterial small subunit ribosomal RNA", at positions 355 to 774 of the family's 1533-position model. The record is from RNAcentral.
UGAGGAAUAUUGGACAAUGGGCGCAAGCCUGAUCCAGCCAUGCCGCGUGCGGGAUGAAGCAUCUAUGGUGUGUAAACUGCUUUUGUACGGGAAGAAACCACCCCUCGUGAGGGGUAUUGACGGUACCGUAAGAAUAAGGAUCGGCUAACUCCGUGCCAGCAGCCGCGGUAAUACGGAGGAUCCAAGCGUUAUCCGGAAUCAUUGGGUUUAAAGGGUCCGUAGGCGGGUCUGUAAGUCAGUGGUGAAAUCUCCCCGCUCAACGGGGAAACUGCCAUUGAUACUGCAGGUCUUGAAUUAUUGGGAAGUAACUAGAAUAUGUAGUGUAGCGGUGAAAUGCUUAGAGAUUACAUGGAAUACCGAUUGCGAAGGCAGCUUACUAAACUGACACUGACGCUGAUGCACGAAAGCGUGGGGAUCGAACA